This 1144-nucleotide ribosomal RNA is filed under the name uncultured bacterium. RNAcentral describes it as "bacterial SSU rRNA". It matches the Rfam family "Bacterial small subunit ribosomal RNA", at positions 165 to 1296 of the family's 1533-position model. The record is from RNAcentral.
AAUACCGCAUAACAAUUUGAAUCGCAUGAUUCAAAUUUAAAAGAUGGCUUCGGCUAUCACUUUGGGAUGGACCUGCGGCGCAUUAGCUUGUUGGUAGGGUAACGGCCUACCAAGGCUGUGAUGCGUAGCCGAGUUGAGAGACUGAUCGGCCACAAUGGAACUGAGACACGGUCCAUACUCCUACGGGAGGCAGCAGUAGGGAAUCUUCCACAAUGGGCGCAAGCCUGAUGGAGCAACACCGCGUGAGUGAAGAAGGGUUUCGGCUCGUAAAGCUCUGUUGUUAGAGAAGAACGUGCGUGAGAGUAACUGUUCACGCAGUGACGGUAUCUAACCAGAAAGUCACGGCUAACUACGUGCCAGCAGCCGCGGUAAUACGUAGGUGGCAAGCGUUAUCCGGAUUUAUUGGGCGUAAAGCGAGCGCAGGCGGUUUGAUAAGUCUGAUGUGAAAGCCUUUGGCUUAACCAAAGAAGUGCAUCGGAAACUGUCAGACUUGAGUGCAGAAGAGGACAGUGGAACUCCAUGUGUAGCGGUGGAAUGCGUAGAUAUAUGGAAGAACACCAGUGGCGAAGGCGGCUGUCUGGUCUGCAACUGACGCUGAGGCUCGAAAGCAUGGGUAGCGAACAGGAUUAGAUACCCUGGUAGUCCAUGCCGUAAACGAUGAGUGCUAGGUGUUGGAGGGUUUCCGCCCUUCAGUGCCGCAGCUAACGCAUUAAGCACUCCGCCUGGGGAGUACGACCGCAAGGUUGAAACUCGAAGGAAUUGACGGGGGCCCGCACAAGCGGUGGAGCAUGUGGUUUAAUUCGAAGCUACGCGAAGAACCUUACCAGGUCUUGACAUCUUGCGCCAACCCUAGAGAUAGGGCGUUUCCUUCGGGAACGCAAUGACAGGUGGUGCAUGGUCGUCGUCAGCUCGUGUCGUGAGAUGUUGGGUUAAGUCCCGCAACGAGCGCAACCCUUGUUACUAGUUGCCAGCAUUCAGUUGGGCACUCUAGUGAGACUGCCGGUGACAAACCGGAGGAAGGUGGGGACGACGUCAGAUCAUCAUGCCCCUUAUGACCUGGGCUACACACGUGCUACAAUGGACGGUACAACGAGUCGCGAACUCGCGAGGGCAAGCUAAUCUCUUAAAAUAGUUGUCAGUUCGG